RNAcentral lists this transfer RNA (31 nucleotides) under Boechera retrofracta. RNAcentral describes it as "partial tRNA-Leu". Lineage: Eukaryota; Viridiplantae; Streptophyta; Magnoliopsida; Brassicales; Brassicaceae. The record is from RNAcentral.
UUAAAAUCCGUUGACUUUUUAAAUCGUGAGG